GAUGAACGCUGGCGGCGUGCCUAAUACAUGCAAGUCGAGCGAACGGACGAGAAGCUUGCUUCUCUGAUGUUAGCGGCGGACGGGUGAGUAACACGUGGAUAACCUACCUAUAAGACUGGGAUAACUUCGGGAAACCGUAGCUAAUACCGGAUAAUAUUUUGAACCGCAUGGUUCAAAAGUGAAAGACGGUCUUGCUGUCACUUAUAGAUGGAUCCGCGCUGCAUUAGCUAGUUGGUAAGGUAACGGCUUACCAAGGCAACGAUGCAUAGCCGACCUGAGAGGGUGAUCGGCCACACUUGAACUGAGACACGGUCCAGACUCCUACGGGAGGCAGCAGUAGGGAAUCUUCCGGAAUGGGCGAAAGCCUGACGGAGCAACGCCGCGUGAGUGAUGAAGGUCUUCGGAUCGUAAAACUCUGUUAUUAGGGAAGAACAUAUGUGUAAGUAACUGUGCACAUCUUGACGGUACCUAAUCAGAAAGCCACGGCUAACUACGUG
This 497-nucleotide ribosomal RNA is filed under the name uncultured bacterium. RNAcentral's name for it is "partial 16S ribosomal RNA". It matches the Rfam family "Bacterial small subunit ribosomal RNA", at positions 28 to 507 of the family's 1533-position model. The record is from RNAcentral.